GAGGCACACACACACACCGACAGUCUAACCCAGAUCCUCUUUCCUGUGCUCAAUAGUUUUAUCCAUUAAUGUCUCAGCUAACUAGAAAUGAUAAUUGCAGGGGGGGAACCUUGUUUUGUGGUUCAACAAGAUGUUCACAUCUCCCCUGCCUUUCUGCCCCUCUCUUCUAGAGACGUGGCACAGAAAUAACCUCCUCUGAGGCGAUGCGACAAGUCCUGCCAAGUUUUCCAGGGAGAAGUUAGUAUUGAAUACGAAAGCGUCAAGGAUUGUGAGAUGCUGUAAUCUGGCUGCCCCUGCCUCCCUUUUGGCCCUGAAAGCUUCAAUGAGAACCUCCGCUGUGCCAUCUUUCAGGUGGUGUCCUCUGAGGGCCAGCCUGUGAUGCUACAGGGUGGCCACACAGCUAAUGGGAUGUGCUCAGUGCUGGCUUUUGCAUGUCCCCAGCUGGGGAGAAGAGUAAGAGGAAAGGAUCCAGGGACUGUCUUUUCCAGCUACCAACAAACCUGUAGGCUUCAGUUGGUCCUAAUGCACUGAUGCGGUGGAGUAAGAACGAAGCAGAUAAGACAAGUCCAAACAAGUCCAGAUGGCGGCACAUGCGGGAGGACAUAUGUCCUUAAAGUUGGACUAAGACUUGGAGAUCAACUCAAAAGCAUCGUUCUAGUGACCAUUGUUAGGACUCCAAUGUCUCACCACAGCAGGUGGGACCUACCUGAGACAGACAGAAAAGACCUCAAAAGCCGAGGCUGAGAACAACCAAAUGCACUGAAUAAAGACCCUCUCUGUGGACUAGGCUUGUCCCUG
This 798-nucleotide long non-coding RNA is filed under the name Mus spicilegus (steppe mouse). Its description in RNAcentral is "lncRNA (ENSMSIG00000027912.1)". Lineage: Eukaryota; Metazoa; Chordata; Mammalia; Rodentia; Muridae. The record is from RNAcentral.